GACGAACGCUGGCGGCGUGCUUAACACAUGCAAGUCGAACGGAAAGGCCCUGCUUUUGUGGGGUGCUCGAGUGGCGAACGGGUGAGUAACACGUGAGUAACCUGCCCUUGACUUUGGGAUAACUUCAGGAAACUGGGGCUAAUACCGGAUAUGAGCUCCUGCUGCAUGGUGGGGGUUGGAAAGUUUCGGCGGUUGUGGAUGGACUCGCGGCUUAUCAGCUUGUUGGUGGGGUAGUGGCUUACCAAGGCUUUGACGGGUAGCCGGCCUGAGAGGGUGACCGGCCACAUUGGGACUGGGAUACGGCCCAGACUCCUACGGGAGGAAGCAGGGGGAAAUAUUGCACAAUGGGCGGAAGCCGGAUGCAGCAACUCCGCGUGCGGGAUGACGGCCUUCGGGUUGUAAACCGCUUGAGCCUGUGACGAAGAGUGAGUGACGGUAAUGGGUAAAGAAGCACCGGCUAACUACGUG
This 468-nucleotide ribosomal RNA is filed under the name uncultured bacterium. Its description in RNAcentral is "partial 16S ribosomal RNA". It matches the Rfam family "Bacterial small subunit ribosomal RNA", at positions 28 to 507 of the family's 1533-position model. The record is from RNAcentral.